This is a long non-coding RNA of Orcinus orca (killer whale), 4151 nucleotides long. RefSeq lists it as uncharacterized. Lineage: Eukaryota; Metazoa; Chordata; Mammalia; Artiodactyla; Delphinidae. The transcript has 2 exons. The record is from RefSeq and is a predicted model, not a curated record.
UUGGGGUGUCUGUGGCAGGCGUUUGAGGUGUGGCUGGGAUUGGGAGUGGGUGGGCCCUGGCUUGGGCCCUGGUGGGUGAUCCCUCUGAUAGCUGUUGGCUUUCUCCGGCGGAACCCGGCUGGCUGCUGCCCCUUGGGCCAAGGUCAGUCACAAGGGGGGGCCGCCCCAGCUGCCCACUCCUCCUGACCCUGCAGCAGUCCUGAAGGGAGGGUCUCACCUGGGAGGUGAGGAAGAGCAACCCAGCAUGGGAGGCUGGGUCCAGGUGGGGGCAGCAGACUUGGGCCAAUGGCCCCUCUCCUCAGUGGCCGCAGUGACCUCACACAUGCCACUAAGAGACAGGACUGAGACAGGGUCGGUGCUGCUGCCGAAACAUUCAGCACCCAAGGUCAGUGGGGCUGCUGGGCAGGCGUGCCCAAGACUCUUGUCGAGGUGGGGUGAAGGGGCCCAGCAGAGAGGAAGUCGUGCCGGCAGCCCAGGUCAACCCUGACGCACUCUGGCCUCAGUGUCGUAUCUGUGAAGUGGCAGUGAAGCCCUCCUGACCACUCUUGGGAGGGUUUGAAAGCUCACCCAGCUCACCUGUUAGGGGUGUCGCUCCUGCCCCAUCGUCCAGCCAGACUGGUCGGGGGGGGCGCUCCCAUGUGGACAAGCCCCCCUGCCCCGCCCACGCCAACAUCCGUCCACCGGGCUUCAGAUUGAGGCCUGCCCCAGCUCGGCAUCGCCCUCCACCUUCCCAAAGUCACCCAGCACCCUGCACCCCUCACACCCACCCCCGUCCUCAACUGAGCUCUGCUUGGACGGCCAGUGAGGGCAUCGAGGGUGGGGCACCUGCAAGGGGCGAAAGGGGGAACUUCUUAGGGCCACAGGCUCUGAGGACAGGUAGCCUCUGUCCUGAGGCUGCUGCCACACCCUCUGGCACCCUGUGACGCCCUCGGGAGCUCUCCUCUCCCCCACCCAUAGAUGAAAUGGGCCUGGCCUGGAGGAGGCAGGACUCAAGUGCAGACCUGAGCUUAGAUGUGGGAGUGCACAGGCAGAGGCAGGGCAUGGGGAGUGGGCAGGAGGCCACUGGCCUGGCCAGGUGUGGAUGACACGGCUGUGGAGACUGGGGGUGCAGCGGAGCAGCGCCCACCCCGACCCCACCAGGCUGAGAGGCUCCUGGGACUCCCGCCAGCUCUCCUCCAGGCCUCUGUGCCUUUGCACGUGCUAUGCCCUCUUCCCUGGGGAGGCCAGUGAGCCUGUGCUGUGGCUUUGUUACCUGGAUCGUGGCUCCUCCCCAGGAUCCUGUCAAAACACUGGUGUCCAAAUGUCCUGCCUCCCCCUGCCCACAUCUAUAGAUGUGGAGCCUCGGCUCCAGGGGAGGCCCCACCAGGAGAAGACAAGGUGCCUGGUGGUGGGGCCCCCUCUCACCCCCCAUAGGCGAGAGAGGUAUUCGUUCUCUAUUGCUACACAAGAAAUCACCCCCCAAACUUAGCCACUUAAAAGAGUAAGCAUUUAUUACUCGCCCUGUGUCUCCGGGUCAGGAAUCUGGGGGCACCUGGGCUGGGUGGUCAAGGUUUCAGGAGGACCCGCUUCCAGGAUGUGGCUGUUGGCAGGGGAUCUCAGGUCCUCUGCAGAUAGGCCUCUUGGGAGGGCUGCGGAGUGUCUUACACCAUGGCAGCUGGCCUCCCCUGAGUGAGUGGUCCAAGACAGCCAGGGGGCUUUGCGGACCCAGUCCUGGAAAUCCAGCAUCAUCCCUCCUGCAGCUUCCACUGUUAAAGUCACUCUGUCCGGCCCACACUCAAAAGGUGGGGAAUUGGGCUCCACUUUUUGAAGGAAGAUUAAAGAAUUUAGAGGCCCCAGAGGACACCAACCCUUGACCCUGGAAGGAAAGGGUGGGGGACAAGUGUCGAGCCAGACCAGAAUUGCUGUCAGGGCUACGACCACUGAUCCCCUGGGGAGGGGGCUGCUACUCCUCCCUCCCCACCCCUAGCCCAGAAGUCUCCAGGCAGGGCCCUUUCCAGGUAGGUCUCAGCGGGGUGAGUGGACUUGAUAUUUGGACCUGAGGGCUAUGCGGACUGCCCCAACCCCGCCACGCACCCCUCCAGCUGCUCAGCCCUGAUGUUGGGGUACAGGACGCAGCUACAAGUCUGCCCCUUCACCUCUUCUCCUGGGCCCUGGGGGUUCAGAUGUGACGGUUCUCCUACCCUCGGCCACUGAGAACAGCCUGAAGGAUGAAGGACGCUGCAGUCAUCCUCGUUUUACCUAGCCAGUCAUGUUUCUGAAGGCGAUGACUGCAGGUAAGGUUUCCGACAGACUCUGAGGUGGAAAGCAGUGUGCAAAGUCAAAUCAAAGUAGGUCACGUGUUUGCUCUUAGAAAUACACACAUGCCGCGGGAGAGGUACACGCCCCAAGCGGGAUCAGGUAAGGUUACAUUCAAUUUCUCCUUUACACUUUUCUAGAAUUUCUCAGUUUUCCCGCAGGGAAUAUCUAUUAGUUGACUUUUUUUUUUUUUUUUCAAUUGAGGUGAUAUUCACAUAACAUGCAACGGAUAUGUAAAAUGUACAACUCAGUGGCAUUUAGUUUAUUCAUAAUAUUGUACAAACACCAGCUCUCUCUAGUUUCAAAACUUUUUCAUCACCCCAUUAAAACCCCAUAAAAAUACCACCCUGUACUCAGUAAGUCAUCAUUCCCCAUUUCUUCCUCCCCCAUCCUCUGGGAACUGCUAACCUGCAUUGUGUCUCUGUGAAUUUGCCUGUUCCGGGUACAUCACAUAAAAAGCAUCACAUGGUAUGUGGCCUUUGUGUCUGGCUGCUUUCACACAGCGCAGUGUUUUCAAGGUCCAUCUAUGUUGUUGUCUUUAUAAUUUCAUUCCCUUUUAUGACUGAAUAAUAUCCCACAUUUGGUUGUCCAUUGAUCUGUCAAUGGACAUUUGGGUCAUUUUUACCUCUUAGAGAUUGUGAGUAAUGCCGCUAUGAACAUUCCUAUAAGGUCUCUCUGUGGACAUAGUUUUCAUUUCUCUAGGUCAUAUACCAAGGAGUGGAAUUGCUGGAUCAUGAUAAUUCUAUGUUUAACUAUUUAAGGAACUGCCACACUGUUUUCUGUUUUCCACCUGCACCAUUUUACAUUCCCACCAGCAAUGUAUAAGAGUUCCUGUUUAUCCACAUCCUUGCCAACACUUGUUAGUUUCUGUUUUUUAAAAAUCAAAGUCAUCCUCAUAGGUGUGAAGUGAUAUCUAAGUGGUAUCAUACUGUCAUUUUGAUUUGUAUUUCCCUUAUGACUAAUGACAAUGAGCAUCUUUUCUUGAGUUUAUUAGCCAUUUGUAUAUCUUCUUUAGAGAAAUAUCUGUUCAAGUCCUGUACCGUUUUUUCAAGUGGAUUCUAUUUUUUUGGUUGAGUUUUUUUGUUUGUUUGUUUGUUUUUAGCUGUGCGGGGUCUUAGCUGCAGCAUGCGGGCUCUUAGUUGCGGCAUGCGGGCUCCUAGUUGUGGCAUGUGGGAUCUAGUUCCCUGACCAGGGAUUGAACCCUGGCCCCCUGCAGUGGGAGCUUGGAGUCUUAGCCACUGGACCACCAGGAAAGUCCCUUGGUUGAGUUUUAAGAGUUCUUUAUGUGUUCUGGAGGCUAAUCAGAUAUAUGCUUCUCCUAUUUCCCAGGUUGUCUUUCCACUCUCUUACAUUGUCCUUUGAUACAGAAAAGUUUUAUAUUUGUUUCUUUGGUUGCUGUGCUUUUGGUGUCAUAUCUCAUAAUCCAUUGCCAUGAAGAUGUACCCCUAUGUUUUCUUCCAAGAAUUUUAUGGUUUUAGCUCUUACGUGUAGGCUGUUUUUUUGUUUUUGUUUUUUUUUGCAGUACGCGGGCCUCUCACUAUUGUGGCCUCUCCCGUUGCGGAGCACAGGCUCUGGACGCGCAGGCUCAGCAGCCAUGGCUCACGGGCCCAGCCGCUCCACAGCAUGUGGGAUCUUCCCGGACCAGGGCACGAACCUGCGUCCCCUGCAUCGGCAGGCAGACUCUCAACCACUGCGCCACCAGGGAAGCCCGGCUGCUGAGUGGCUUUUUGAGUGGAUUUUUGUGUAUGGUGUGAGGCGGGGAUCAGACUUCAUUCUUCUGCACGUGAAGAUCCAGUUGUCCCAGCACCACUUGCUGAUCUAUUACUUUCAUAAUUACAAAACUAGGUAAAAUAUAA